GACGAACGCUGGCGGCGUGCCUAAUACAUGCAAGUCGAACGAGAGCAACCGGUGCUUGCACUGGUCAAUCUAGUGGCGAACGGGUGAGUAACACGUGGGUAACCUGCCCAUCAGAGGGGGAUAACAUCCGGAAACGGAUGCUAAAACCGCAUAGGUCUUCGAACCGCAUGGUUUGAAGAGGAAAAGAGGCGCAAGCUUCUGCUGAUGGAUGGACCCGCGGUGCAUUAGCUAGUUGGUGAGGUAACGGCUCACCAAGGCCGUAAUGCCUAGCCGACCUGAGGGGGGAAUCGGCCAAUUGGGACUGAGACACGGCCCAAACUCCUACGGGAGGCAGCAGUAGGGAAUCUUCCGCAAUGGACGCAAGUCUGACGGAGCAACGCCGCGUGAGUGAAGAAGGUUUUCGGAUCGUAAAACUCUGUUGUUAGAGAAGAACAAGUGCUAGAGUAACUGUUAGCGCCUUGACGGUAUCUAACCAGAAAGCCACGGCUAACUACGUG
Molecule: ribosomal RNA, 497 nt
Filed under: uncultured bacterium
Lineage: Bacteria
Description: partial 16S ribosomal RNA
Rfam family: Bacterial small subunit ribosomal RNA
Source: RNAcentral